UAAAUGUUCACUUCGUCAAAUUUAAAUUUUGGAUUCGCUUCUGCUAUCCAUUAUUUGCAGAUGCAGCAGAGUCGUUCGAGAUGUUGCAUUCUGAAUAUAGGGAAAGCAGAACAACAAUAUUUCCAGUUUUCCAUCCAUGGGAAGGUAAACAGUACGAUACGUUAUCUCAUUUUUCGAAAAACUUCAUGUUAUUUAUCUCUGCGCGAUUGGAAGAGAGACUCUAGAUGCUAUCGACAACGA
RNAcentral lists this unclassified non-coding RNA (240 nucleotides) under Hevea brasiliensis (rubber tree). The record is from RNAcentral. Lineage: Eukaryota; Viridiplantae; Streptophyta; Magnoliopsida; Malpighiales; Euphorbiaceae.